AGGAACGCUCCUGGGUUCCGCCACGGUAUAUUUUGGAUCCUUUACUCAUUGAUCAGUUUUAUAAUGAUCAUCCUGAUCAGGCUGGUGGGACGUCAUGAGCCAGCCGUUAUGGUGGGGAGUAAUGUCAUGAUUCUGUCACCACUUCCUGUUAGACUUAUUUUGUCAACUAGCAUCCAGCUUCCUGUUCCUGGCCUCGUAACUCCUCUUUAAUUUCCCUCAUUGGUUUCACCUGUCUCCCUAACUAUAUAAGCCAGUCUUGCUCUUACCUCCUUGCCAGAUUGUCUCAUCAGCACAUUGGUGAACAUUCCAGCCAGUUCCUGAAUCAGAUCCUUGAAGCCUGUGAACUCUACUCUGCCUGGAACCUGAAUUUUCUCUCUCUGCCUGAACCUUUAUCAAGAGAAUGCCUACUAGAACACACUGGUAGACUAUCCUGUGUGGUACAGUGGACUGUGUCUCUGCCUGUCACGUGGUAGACCAGGGUUUGAUUCCCAAGCAGAUCACCCCAUCCAUCUCAGAAGACCAACUAAAUCCUGUUAGCUAUACUGAUCCAGGCAAUAUCUGUAAGCCGAUUCACUCAGUUCCUUAUACUCCCUUCACGGACCCAUUGCUUACUCCACUGUAGCCACCUUCUGGCCUGGAUAGGACCUGCCAGCAUCCUGAGAACAUUGAAAGUUUAUUUUCAGUUUCUUUAAUAUCAAAGACUUAUUCACUUGUGUCUGUCUGUAAUUUUGGGUCCAGUAGUAAUUCCCUCACAUUCUGUUAUGUGGACAUUCAAAGACAUUCAUUUCAAUGACAUGGGAGUUGGUCCACCUUGAACACCUGACACAUCUAGUGUUAUAUGAAACACCUUAUUGCUCAAUAAAAAAAACUCUAAAGUUGGUCGUUUUCACUUUCUGUGUAAAACAGAGCAUAUCACAGAAAAGUUAAUGAUUUGUAAGUCACUGGGGUUGUGAGAUACAGUGAGAUGUGUAUAUGUGUCUCUUGUCACAUGAG
This is a long non-coding RNA of Cyprinus carpio carpio, 993 nucleotides long. NCBI's taxonomy places the organism in Eukaryota, Metazoa, Chordata, Actinopteri, Cypriniformes, Cyprinidae. The record is from Ensembl.